Non-coding RNA from Oryctolagus cuniculus (rabbit), 5579 nucleotides. The record is from RefSeq and is a predicted model, not a curated record. Lineage: Eukaryota; Metazoa; Chordata; Mammalia; Lagomorpha; Leporidae.
CGCCCAGGCCCGCCCCUGCUGGCCCUACAUCCACUGCACUGGGAGCAGAGCCGGCCGCGCACCCCAGUAAGGAGCUGCGGCGAUGGCGAUGGCGAUGGCGAUGGCGGCAGGCAACGCGGCCUACUUUCAGAGGGGCAGUGUGUUCUGGUUGGCGGUCAUCACGCUCUCCUUUGGCUACUACACGUGGGUUGUCCUCUGGCCGCAGAGCAUCCCUUAUGAGAGCCUUGGGCUCCUGGGCUCGUUCACUCAGUACCUGGUGGACCAUCAUCACACCCUCCUGCACAACGGGUAUUGGUUUGCCUGGAUGAUUCACGUGGCAGAGUCCUUGUAUGCCAUGGUGCUGUGCAAGUAAGUCAUUAUUUAGGUCCUGGUCACCUUUCUCGUGGUAUCUGGUAGAAGCUGAGCCACCACAUUUAAAUAAUUCAUGCACGCCUAGGCUGAGAGCACUCUGAGGUAGUGUGGAGUACCCAUGCCUGAUACUGGGCCUGACGCAGGAAUACUCAGUAAAUGUUCGGUGAGUGAGUCCAUUUAGUUUGUGUUAGUUAUUAUUUACUCCGUUAGUGCAUUAGGCUGAUUGUUAUUUUUUUUUUUUAACUUUUUUUAAUUGUCUGUACAGCAGCACCUAGAACAAAAGAUUAGGAGUCUGCCUCCUAGUGUGCGAAAGAGCUGAGUUACUUUCCUAGGCCAGUAAUCUCCUAUCUUGAUGCCACAGUGAACCACCUGAGGAGCUGUUUCACUGUACAUGUCUGGUUUCCACCAGAAAAACUGAUCUGGCAGGUCUUGCUUCAGACCUACAAGUCUGUUCUUUCUGGAAGGUCUGCAGGUAAUUCUGGAGCUAAAUGCAAGUUAAAAGCCCCCAAACAGACCCUACUCAGCAGAUGCUACUGUAGGUGACUACUAUGUGAGAGUACUGAAAAAGAUUCUUUGUACUUUUGGACAAUUUGUUCUCCCCUCCGGGACCGUCUGCUAGUGGGGUCCUCCGUGAAGUCCUGUUCCUUUGCUCUCCCACUGGGCAGGCUGAACCCAUCUCUAUGCUUUGGAGUGACACAGUCGCCCUUUGCCAGAGUGCAAGGGGAUUUCCAGGUGGCUUUGUUGAAACUGUUCUCUGGGCUUGAGACUGUGGUAGGAAAUGCCCAAGCGUUCUGAGACUCCUUCCCAGUGGCCUCUUGGGCCUCCCUGAGGUCUUAGCUGAGGACAUGUGUUUGGCCCAGCCCCACAGCUUGACAGCUCUUGUGACUGGCAUUUGGAGCCUCUAAUGAAAACCAAAAGACUGUGUUGUGUUGUACACUUCUUUGAAGGGAGAAGGGGAACAAGCCCAGGGAGGUUGCGUCUCUCUUACUGUGUUCCUAAAACCAGUCCUUUAAGGAUCUAACGUGUUAGCAUGUGCCAUAGCUCACUAUAAAUCAGAAUUAAUACUCCUUUUGAUUUGUGAGAUCAAUGAAAGAGUAAAUAAAUUUGAAUGCAAGAAUACAUGAAGACAUGGUAUAACUUUGGAGCUUCCCAAAUCCUACUGCCCAGGAAUAACUACUUGUAACAUUUUGUUGAGUUCCCUUUUGUUUUAAUCCAUACCUGUUAACUUUUAAUCCAGUCAUCAUCCUGUAGGAAAGAGUACUUUGAGCUGUAUGUAGAUACAGAAAUGACCUUCGACGUGGCAGGAAAGUAACAUUUACUAAGCACCUUCCAUGUGCCAGUCCCUAAGCAGAAGCUCAAGGACACAAUCAGGCUAUAAUAUAGUCUCUUAAAUCCCAUGUUUUAAAAAUACAUACCUUUCUGAAUUUCUUUUAACCAGAGAUAAGAUUGGACUAUAUGUUUGACUUUAUAUCUGCCAUAAUCAUACACUUAAGCACUUUGCCAUGUUUUUAUUUUUUUUUUGUAUUUCAUUUUAAAGAUUUAUUGUAUUUAUAUGAAAGAGUUGCACAGAGAGAGAAGCAGACACACAGAGAGAGAGGGGGAUUUUCCACCCUCUGGUUCACUCCCCAGUUGGCUGCAAUGGCCAGUACUGCACUGAUCCAAAAAAAAGGAACCAGGAGCUUCUUCCGGGUCUCCCAUGCGGGUGCGGGCCCAAGCACUUGGGCCAUCUUCUACUGCUUUCCCAGCCAUAGCAGAGACCUGGAUGGGAAGUGGAGCAGCGGGGACACAGCACCGGCCCCGCCAUGGUGUUUGUUUUUGUUUUUUUCCAUCGUGCCAUGUUUUUAAAAUAACCUUGAAGGCAGGCACUUGGCCCUGCAGUUAAGAUGCUACUUGAGGGAGGACACUGUGGUGUAGCAGGUAAAGCCUCCGAGACCUGCAAUGCUGGCGUCUCAUAUGGGUGCUGGUUGGAGUCCUGGCUCCUCCACUUCCCAUCCAGCUCUCUGCUCGGGCCUGGGAAAGCAGUGGAAGAUGGCCCAAGUCCUUGGGCCCCUGCAGCUGUGUGGGAGACCCGGAGGAAGUUCCUGGCUCCUGGCUUCGGAUCGGUGCAGCUCCGGCCGUUGCAGCCAAUUGAGGAGUGAUCCAUCGGAUGGAAGACCUCUCUGCCUCUCCUCUCUCUGUGUAACUCUGACUUUCAAAUAAAUACUUUUUUUUUUUUUAAUGAUGCUACAUGGGACAGCCCCAUCCUAUAUCAAAGUACCAGGAAUCAGAUCCUGGCUCUGGUCUUAAUUCCAAUUUCCUGCUGAUGCACACCCUCGAAGGCCUCAGAUGAUGCCUCAAGCCCAUGGGUCCCUACCACUCAUGUGACAGACCCAGAUACUGACUGAGUUCUCAGCUCCUGGCUUCAGCCUGCUCCAGUCCUGGCUGUUGGUGGCAUUUGAGAGUGAUCCAGCAGGUAGGAAAUCAGUUUCUUUCUCUCUCUCCCUCUCAGCCUUUCUGCCUUUAUUUCAAAUAAAAUAAUUUUUUAUGAAGUUUGGUGAAUAGUUUUAAAUUUUGCAUACUAUUCCUCUAGUUGUAUAUUCCAGAAUUCAGUUAGCUAAACUAGCAGUGAAUAUUUAACUUUAAAAAACAUUUUUCUUUUGUUAAUGAUUGUUUAGUUUUAUUUGAGAGAGAGAACUCCACUCCACUCACUCAUGCUCCAGAUAUCUCCAGUAGCUGGAGCUGGGCCAGGACCAAAGUUAGGCUCCAGGAAUGCAAUCCAGGUCUGCCUUUGCAAUCCAGGUCUCCCACAAGGCAGGGACCCUACUGCUUGAGCAAUCAGCACUGUGAUGUGGGAGGCAGAUUUUUUAUCACUGGGCUGAAUGUCUACUCCCUGGGUCUUAGGUCUUUAAUCUACCUGGAACUGACUUUUUGUGAGAGGCAAGUAUUCAACAUUAUCUUGAUAUUUCUAUAUGGAUGCCCUGUUUUCCCCAAGCCACUUCUUGAGACUUUCACUCUUCAUUAAUGUGCUGUGGCUUAUAGCCACAUAUAUGUCUGUGUUUUUGAACUCACUGUUCUUUUCUGUUGGUUUGCUUCUUUGUCCUUGGGCCAGCAUAACAUUAUCUUACAGUAGUAGCUUUGUAAUCACUGACACCUGAUGGAGCACGUCCUCUCACCUUGUUCAGAGUUACCUGUUCCUGGGCCUUUGCACAGCCUUAUGCAUUGUCAUUUGCUUCAAAGAUGAAAAAUUUAUCUGUUGGCAUUUUUAUUAGAUUGACCAUAUGAAUUAAUUUGUAGCAGAAUGGCAUAUUUCCGUUAUUAAGUCUUCUAAACCAGGAAAAAUGAUUUGUCUCCAUUUCCUUAGAGUUCUGUGAUGUUUUUCCUAUUCUUUAUUUGGUUAAUAUCCAGCUUCCUGUACUUUCAGAUGUUGUUAUAAGUGACUUUUCCUUCAUUUUAUCAUUGUUUGAUGGUAGCAUAUAUGCAUAUAGUCAGUUUUAUAUAUUGACCUUAUACGUAGCAACCUUAAAAAUUCAUUUAUUAAUUCUAAUAGUUCAUCUAUAGAUUAUUUUCAGUUUUCUAGUCAUCAUUCAAGUGUCUCUAGAAACAGUUUUAUUUUUUCUUCUCAGUUCAGUCCCUUUGCUUUGUGUUUCUUCCCUGUUGUACUAACUCAUACUUCCAGUGCGUGUUGCCUAGAAGUGGACAUGAUGCCUGGUUCCUGAUCGCCAAGCUGUCAGUGUCCUUGCAUCAUGUUUAUUCUAGAGUUUUAUAGAUCUUCUCUGUCAAAAUGAGGAUGUUCGACUGUAUAUCUAAGUCUGCUAAGAACUUUGAAGAAGGAUGUUGAAACUUAUCAGAUAUUUUUGCAUUUUUUUGGAUUUAUUAGUUUAUUUGAAAGUCAGAGUUACACAGAAAGAGAGGCAGAGAGAGAGAGAGAGAGAGUCUUCCAUCCGCUGAUUCACUCCCCAGUUGGCCACAACAGCUGGAGCUGGGCCUAUCCAAAGCCAGGACAGGAACUUCUUCUGGGUCUCCCACGUAGGUACAGAGGCCCAAGGAGUUGGGCCAUCUUCUACUGCUUUCCCAGGCCACAGCAGAGAGCUGGAUCUGAAGUGGAGCAGUUGGGACUCAAACCUGUGCCCAUAUGGGAUAUCAGCUCUGCAGGCGGCAGCUUUACCCACUGUGCCACAGCACUGACCCCUAUUUUUUGCAUUAUUAAAAUGUAUAAUCUUUAUCCUUUAAUUUAUUGAUAGAAAAAACCAUUUGUAUAUAUGCAUAUAAAGUUUGCUUUGAAUAAAAGGUUUAUGCAAGUGAGACUUAAUUCCAUACACAUGAGCCUGCAGCAAGCUGUUCACUUAAGCUGAAUCAUUUUCUGUUGAGCUUUCAGACAGUUGAAUGACUGUAUAGUAACACUAUGUUCCAGUUUCUUUCCUAAGCACUUUGUGUAUAUAUCUCAUAAACCAAGUGGGACAGAUACUACUAUGACUGUUUUUCACAUGAGAAUACUGUUUCUGAGAGCUACUAGUGAUGUGCCCAGGACACAGCUGGUGGGUGGCCAAGCUGGGAUUCACAUCUGGUGCAAAUCUUCACAUCUUCAGACACUUGCUCUGAAGCCAUACCAGUGCCCAUCUCCUUUCCAGUCAUCUCAUGAGAAACCGUUUUAUAAUGCUCUACCCUGCUCUACCUGGACAGUAGCCAGACUAGUUCCAAGGAAUAGUGUACCAUCCUAAAUACAUUUAUUAGGAAGCAAGGAAGAGGAAAAAUAAAUUCCCCCUUUAAGUUAAAAAACCAGGGUGGGGAGGUGGUAGACAGAUGGAAGUAUAGAAAAAGUAUAAAAAUUAAAAAAGAAUAAGGCCAGCGCCGCAGCACACUGGGCUAAUCCUCUGCCUGCGGUGCCGGCGCCCCAGAUUCUGGCCCCAGUCUGAGCGCCGGUUCUGUCCUGGUUGCUCCUCUUCCAGGCCAGCUCUCUGCUGUGGCCCGGGAGUGCAGUGGAGGAUGGCCCAAGUGCUUGGGCCCUGCGCCCACAUGGGAGACCGGGAGAAGCACCUGUCUCCUGGCUUCGGAUCAGCACGGUGCGCCCACCGCAGCGGCCAUUGGGGGGUGAACCAACAGAGGAAGGAAGACUUUUCUCUCUGUCUCUUUCUCACUGUCCACUCUGCCUGUCAAAUAAAUAAAUAAAUAAACAAUGCUUCCUGUGAAACCAUAAGAUCAAAAUUAUGGUGCUUAUAUUUUGUUCUUUUUUUUUUUUUUUUUUUUUUUUU